UCCGAGUUGACCCCGGCAGUCUCCUAUGAGUCCCCACCAUCAUGUGCUGGCAACAUAGAACGAGGGUUGCGCUCGUUGCGGGACUUAACCCAACAUCUCACGACACGAGCUGACGACAACCAUGCACCACCUGUAUACCGCCCUUGCGGACCCCAUAUCUCUAUGAGUUUUCGGUAUAUGUCAAGCCUUGGUAAGGUUCUUCGCGUUGCGUCGAAUUAAGCCACAUGCUCCGCCGCCUGUGCGGGCCCCCGUCAAUUCCUUUGAGUUUUAAUCUUGCGACCGUACUCCCCAGGCGGGAUGCUUAAUGCGUUAGCUGCGCCACUGAACAGCAAGCUGCCCAACGGCUAGCAUCCAUCGUUUACGGCGUGGACUAC
Molecule: unclassified non-coding RNA, 374 nt
Filed under: uncultured Actinomycetes bacterium
Lineage: Bacteria; Bacillati; Actinomycetota; Actinomycetes
Description: uncultured actinobacterium contains 16S-23S intergenic spacer region
Source: RNAcentral